CUACGGGCGGCUGCAGUAAGGAAUAUUGCGCAAUGGAGGCAACUCUGACGCAGCCAUGCCGCGUGCAGGAAGAAGGCCUUAUGGGUCGUAAACUGCUUUUAUUUAGGAAUAAACCCCCGAACGUGUUCGGGGCUGAAGGUACUAAACGAAUAAGCACCGGCUAACUCCGUGCCAGCAGCCGCGGUAAUACGGAGGGUGCAAGCGUUAUCCGGAUUUAUUGGGUUUAAAGGGUGCGCAGGCGGGCUAUUAAGUCAGUGGCGAAAUCCCGGGGCUCAACUCCGGAACUGCCAUUGAUACUGAUAGUCUUGAGUUUGGUUGAAGUGGGCGGAAUGUAGCAUGUAGCGGUGACAUGCAUAGAUAUGCUACAGAACACCAAUCGCGAAGGCAGCUCACUAAGCCAAAACUGACGCUCAUGCACGAAAGCGUGGGGAUCAAACAGGAUUAGAUACCCUAGUAGUC
This 459-nucleotide ribosomal RNA is filed under the name uncultured bacterium. RNAcentral describes it as "partial 16S ribosomal RNA". It matches the Rfam family "Bacterial small subunit ribosomal RNA", at positions 339 to 795 of the family's 1533-position model. The record is from RNAcentral.